ACAUUAUAUAUAAUGUUUUCUAUACAUAUAGUUAUAGAGUUAUAGUUCUUUUCCACUGCCUAUGCAUUAUUGACUUAUCCAUGGAUAUUCAUGACAGCUCUGGGCUGCCAGGGAGGUGCCAGAACAGUGUCAUAGAGCUAGCUUGCCCUCACAGGGAAGGGCACACCUUGCCUGUAAUAGCCCCUACAUGCAGAGCCUGGCUGCUCAACCUUCAAUUUCCAAGGACAAUCUAGGGUUAGAGGUGGGUGUUCUCUGCCUUUCCUUUUCAUGGCAAACUAAGCAAAAGUAGGCAGAUGACUUUCUGCGUUUUCUCUUACACAACACUGGAACCUGAAAUAUGUAUGACUUGGAUAGAAGCCUAUUCAUAACACCAACAGCAGGAGGCCAGAACAUCUAAAUAAGCGAAUGACUUCCCAUGGAACGAGCGGACGGGAUGGAUUUCUGCAGUGUGCUGUUAUGCUUUGGGAGAAAAGCUGUUCUCCCCGAGGCUGGCCACGUGUCUGAGGUCCUUAAGACAGCAAGUUCAAAGCAUAGUGACUCUGCUGUACCCACAGCUGAGUGACAAAGCUGCCACCAUCGGAUUUCAUAGUUGAAAUAAGAAAGGCGAGUGAGGGUCAUCCUGUGACGUCAGAUUUGUGGCUAAGUGAGUGGCAGAGCUGGGUCUCUGGGCGCCAGAGUUUAGAGGACCAGUCAGGUAUGUUCAAGGAUAGAAUGCCCAUCAUAAGCAAGUGGAUAGGCUAAGAUAUUUGAGAGUGAAAGGCCAAAUGAAUAAUACAUGUGCCAGGACAAUAAAUUUAAACCACAAGUGUCAUACAGGGUGUAUUGUUACCUUAAUUACUGUACAAUGUGCGUGUGGAGAAACAAAAAAGGUUUUCUCAUUAUUAUUCACCUACUUAAUAAUUAUUUAUUGACUCUUUAAUAAGUACCAUAUGCAGUCCCAGACCAUGAGUUAAUACACUGUCCCUUCCUGCUUAAUGACCACAUCUUCUAGUGCACGCCACUUGUAUGUGCUUAUGUGCCUGAAUGUGCAUAAUGGUCUGUCACACAGGAUGCAUGUAUGUGACAACAAGAAAUACACGUUUAGAAUUCUCACAUUAAAUAUCCAUUAGAAUCCAUAUAGUAGCCCUCAUUCCUCUCAUUUUGACUCCUUAACAUAUUAAAUUUGUUCAGCAUCCUCCCUCUGAUCCAUGGGGACAUAGUCCCAGAUCUGUCUGAAAUCAGAAGUAGUAGGACACCCUAUAUGUGUAUUAUGUUUUGCAUGCAGCUCCACGCUGAUGAUGAAUUUGAACUUAUAAGUUACACAAUGUGUAAAUUCAACAAAAAUUGCUACUGAUAAAUAGAAUAGCUACAGGGAUUUACUUAAGUAGUCAAGUGGAUGCAAUUAUUCUCCCUUGAAUACUCUUUUAUUAAGAUGUUUUUCAGUUAUGUGUGUAUGUGUGUGUCUGUGUGUUUUGGUAUGUGAAUGUAGGUGCUAGCUAGUACCUGUAGUUAUAGGUGGUUGCAAACCCCAUGACAUGAAUGCUGGGAACAAAACUCUGGUCUUCUCUUAGCUGCUGAACCAUCUCACCAACCCCAAUUAUUAUCUCUUGAAAGAAAUAAGACCAUUGAAAUUAAUGAGAUGAUUCAUCCCUCACUCUGCAUGAUCACAGGUAAAUGGAAUUGUGGGAUAUAAGUUACAGGUCAGGGCAUCUCAAAGCAUAAACAUUCUAUACCACCAAAUAGAAAAGGCCACAUCAAGAUUCUGAAAUUCUAGACAUGUGUACCAGUUCGGUUGCUGAUAACACAUUCUCCUUCCUUGUUCUUUCCAUCCCACCAAACUUGGAGUGUUGCUAGGAAACCAUGUUGCUUCUCACUCCGGACCACCAGCUGUUUCUGUGUGCUAUUCCUAUUUAUUCUGGUUGAUUACCACAACUACCCCGUGAAGGAAGCCAGUGGAACACCCGCUGUGGUCUGAUUUUACGGUGAUGGUCUAACCUGGUCAAAAGAGAUAAAAGGGUCAAGAAUGAGUCUCAAGGACAGCUCUUUGUCUCCAAGGAAAGAACGGAUAGAUCCGGUCCACCAAGGCGCUCUGGAGACUACAGGGCAAGGAAAACAAGACUGAUCUCAGUACAGUGCUCAGGGUUCCAGCCUCGGGAUCCUGGGAAACCAGUUCAAGAAUUGGGAGUAGCACAAUUAUCAGUGACUGAGACACAGAAAUAUGGAAAUGGAGCUAUUUCACAGCCCUGUGGUUGCCUGAGCUUAUAUGCCGACAUGAAGAAAUACUAUGGGAUUUGCCUGUCAAGUGUGAGUCAGGCACAGUCACGUGGAGAGCUUGGAUAGAAUCACUAUCGUCUCUGUCUACAGGAUGAGUGGAGAGGUGGAAGGAGAUAAAGACACCUUCAAACAAGGAGUGAACUUUGUACAUCGAGAUGAGAAAGCCUGGGACGGGUGGCGGACAGUGUAAGGAAUUAUUCCAGGAAGUACCUCAAUUAUGAUUCAUUACUUUAAAAAGAUUUAAUUGCAAGUGAGUCAGCUGCAGUUUAGCAGGCAUUAUUCAGUACGACAACCCACCCAUGGCCACACAGCGCUUUCAGAAAAUAAACACACACUUCUCUUGGCUUCAGUUCCUAUUUCUUAAAAAGUGAAAGCUUUGCUAUCUGUAGUAGCUUCACAUUGUCCAUAGGCCUAGUAAGAAUAAGGGACAGACAUGGCCCAACUUCUACCAAUCAAAUGAGAGACCCAAGGAGCUGAAGACUCACCAGAAAUCUAAGACCAGAAUGGGAUCAUUGAACUGGAUUUUGCCCUAUUUCUAAUGUACUUUGGGGUACAUUUUCCUCCAAUACUCUUUGGCUCCUGAGCUAGCUUAAGAAAGGAAAUAUAGAUACUGAAACAAACGCAACAUAUACUUUGCAGGCCCAACUGUGAGGAAAGUACACAUAUCCACUUCAAAGUGAGAAGCCAUCACAGACUAGCCCUUAACUUUAAACCAUGUAUGAGAAUCUUUCUGUAAAGGCAAAAUGUCUCAGGGAGUGAAGAUGCAAAUCUAAUUUACUGUGUGCUUGGAACUUAUUUAAGCUUGGGUGGAGAGGAGAGACUCCACAAACUCAUCCUCUGAACUCAAUACAUGUACCAUGCACCUUGCCACAGCACAUAUAAAUCAAGCACAC
This 3146-nucleotide small RNA is filed under the name Rattus norvegicus (Norway rat). RNAcentral's name for it is "uncharacterized LOC103690525". Lineage: Eukaryota; Metazoa; Chordata; Mammalia; Rodentia; Muridae. The record is from RNAcentral.